Long non-coding RNA from Pogoniulus pusillus (Red-fronted tinkerbird), 1453 nucleotides. RefSeq lists it as uncharacterized. The record is from RefSeq and is a predicted model, not a curated record. The transcript has 2 exons. Lineage: Eukaryota; Metazoa; Chordata; Aves; Piciformes; Lybiidae.
GCUGGUAAUGGACCAGCAGCAGCAGCUGGUAAUGGAACUGGUAAUGGAGCAGAAGCUGGUAACGUAGAGUGGAGAGGAGGAGGAGGAAAGCAGCAGAGACUGCCCGGGGGAAGGCAGAGAGUGGGGGAGGAUGGCAGGGGCCCCUCAGAAAUUGACAGGGGGGGAAAAUCCCCAACCCAUGGAUGUUCUCUUGGUUGUCUUUAAUAGAUAAACAAAGAGCAAGUGCGACUGAAAGAGCUUUACAGGUAACAACUCUGUAACACUGUUUGGAGAGUUUUGAAUUGGUCAUUACCAGCGAGAUCAAGGUAGUGCCCCUUGGCCUUGCUGCAUGUGGUGAACUGCUCCUAACACAGCCCAGCUGAACACAGAGUCAGGUGAAAUGAAGGCUGAAGAGAUAGGAAAAGUCUUUCUCAGCCUCAUAGCUAAAGACAGUUUAGUUUCCCCAAGAAGUCCCAUUCUACCUGUUGUGCAUUGGUUUGAUGCCAAAGCCAAACAACUGCCCCAGACCUUUCUAUUUUCUCAGCUUUGGUGUAAAUGAAUAUGAAUUGAGGUUGGAUGAGGCCUUGAGCAGCCUGUUGCAGUGGGAGGUAUCCCUGCCUAGAGCAGAGGGUUGGGACUGGAUGAUCCUUGAGGUCCCUUCCAACCUAAACCAUUCAAUGAAGUCUUUUAUCAGUCUUUUAUAGGAUUAGUGACAGUGGGGAAUGUUUGCUUGCUAUGAGAUGAGGGAGCUGUUUCCUAAAUGGAAUGUUCAUUAGUUCUUUAGCACCUGAAAAUGUUGGCAGGCUACUUGAUAAACCUCCUGGAACACAGGGGCCUGCUGAAUUGUUUUCCCAGUGCCUGAACAACUUACAGUGCUGUAAUGGGUUAGCCUCCUGUUUCCCUCCAACACAGAAGUGAGGCAAAAGUAACACAGCCAAGGAAAAACCCUCUGGGUUGAGAUCAAGAGGUAAAUACAAAAUGAGAUCCUGCAGUGCACAAUUACCUUAGCCUGUUUCUGUUUGCAGAAAGCAGGAGUCAGCCACCUGCCACCCAUCCCCUCCUGAUCCCAACCCCAGAAACCCAAAGCAGCACUUGGCACAGGAGGUCUCUCGUGUUGCAGUCUCACCUUCACGCCCUGGAAUACUUUGCUUCAGCCAGCAGCAUGGGGUUGGAUACCAACAGCAGAGUCGACUUAACCUGUGACUAAGUGGACUUUAAGUGUUUUGACUCCACAGUAGAACUUGAUAAAGAAAGAUGUGAAUGGAAGCAGGCUCUGACUGCUCUGUGUAACUGAUGAGAAGCUUUCUGAAGGAGGUGAAUUUGUUUUACAGCCCUUCACUCAGCUGGUUACAGAUCUUCAAGGUAGCUGCUGGUGCAGUGUCUGUUGGAGACUGUUAGCCACUCUGAAGGAGGGAGUUAGUGGAGCAUCAUAGGAACAUGUAGAGAGAUUGGUCAGUAAAAGGCAUUUGUGUUA